AUUGAACGCUGGCGGCAUGCUUUACACAUGCCAGUCGAACGGUAACAGGCCGCAAGGUGCUGACGAGUGGCGAACGGGUGAGUAAUGCAUCGGAACGUGCCCAGCCGUGGGGGAUAACUACUCGAAAGAGUAGCUAAUACCGCAUACGAUCUAUGGAUGAAAGCGGGGGACCGUAAGGCCUCGCGCGAUUGGAGCGGCCGAUGUCAGAUUAGGUAGUUGGUGGGGUAAAGGCUCACCAAGCCAACGAUCUGUAGCUGGUCUGAGAGGACAACCAGCCACACUGGGACUGAGACACGGCCCAGACUCCUACGGGAGGCAGCAGUGGGGAAUUUUGGACAAUGGGCGCAAGCCUGAUCCAGCAAUGCCGCGUGCAGGAAGAAGGCCUUCGGGUUGUAAACUGCUUUUGUACGGAACGAAACGGCUCUGGUUAAUACCCGAGGCUAAUGACGGUACCGUAAGAAUAAGCACCGGCUAACUACGUG
This 482-nucleotide ribosomal RNA is filed under the name uncultured bacterium. Its description in RNAcentral is "partial 16S ribosomal RNA". It matches the Rfam family "Bacterial small subunit ribosomal RNA", at positions 30 to 507 of the family's 1533-position model. The record is from RNAcentral.